AUGUUUUUGCUAUCUUUGCUGCUGCUGUUGGCAGCUGGAUCAUGUGUGAAGUGUGAACAGCUGACACAGCCGGCCUCUGUGACUGUGCAGCCAGGGCAACGUCUGACCCUCACCUGUCAGGUUUCUUAUUCUCUUGGCAGCAGGCCAACAGCUUGGAUCAGACAGGCUGCAGGGAAAGCACUGGAGUGGAUUGGAAGGGCGGGUGAUGGAUGGAGCACAUACUACAAAGAUUCACUAAAGAACAAGUUCAGUAUCAGCUUUGACUCUUCCAGCAAAACAGUGACUCUAAACGGACAGAAUGUGCAGCCUGAGGACACUGCUGUGUAUUACUGUGCCAGAGAGCCACAAUAA
Archocentrus centrarchus (flier cichlid) is the source of this 351-nucleotide non-coding RNA. The record is from the annotation of a RefSeq genome assembly. Lineage: Eukaryota; Metazoa; Chordata; Actinopteri; Cichliformes; Cichlidae.